UGGGGAAUAUUGCACAAUGGAGGGAACUCUGAUGCAGCGACGCCGCGUGAACGAAGAAGGCUUUCGAGUCGUAAAGUUCUUUUAUAUGGGAAGAUAAUGACGGUACCAUAAGAAAAAGCCCCGGCUAACUACGUGCCAGCAGCCGCGGUAAUACGUAGGGGGCUAGCGUUGUCCGGAAUCACUGGGCGUAAAGGGUUCGCAGGCGGAAAUGAAAGUCAGGUGUAAAAGGCAGUAGCUAAACUACUGUAAGCAUUUGAAACUGCAUAUCUUGAGAAGAGUAGAGGUAAGUGGAAUUUUUAGUGUAGCGGUGAAAUGCGUAGAUAUUAAAAAGAAUACCGGUGGCGAAGGCGACUUACUGGGCUCAUUCUGACGCUGAGGAACGAAAGCGUGGGUAGCAAACAGG
This 403-nucleotide ribosomal RNA is filed under the name Fusobacteriota bacterium. RNAcentral describes it as "Fusobacteria bacterium partial 16S ribosomal RNA". It matches the Rfam family "Bacterial small subunit ribosomal RNA", at positions 355 to 776 of the family's 1533-position model. Lineage: Bacteria; Fusobacteriati; Fusobacteriota. The record is from RNAcentral.